This 298-nucleotide signal recognition particle RNA is filed under the name Aotus nancymaae (Ma's night monkey). RNAcentral describes it as "Metazoan signal recognition particle RNA (ENSANAG00000013779.1)". It matches the Rfam family "Metazoan signal recognition particle RNA". Rfam says of the family: The signal recognition particle (SRP) is a universally conserved ribonucleoprotein. It is involved in the co-translational targeting of proteins to membranes. The eukaryotic SRP consists of a 300-nucleotide 7S RNA and six proteins: SRPs 72, 68, 54, 19, 14, and 9. Lineage: Eukaryota; Metazoa; Chordata; Mammalia; Primates; Aotidae. The record is from RNAcentral.
GCCGGGCGCGGUAGCAUGUGCCUGUAGUCCCAGCUGCUCGGGAGGCUGAGGUGGGAGGAUUGCUUGAGGCCAGGAGUUCUGGGCUGUAGUGCGAUAUGCCGAUCGGGUGUCCAUACUAAGUUCAGCAUCAAUGUGGUGACCUCCCGGAGCGGGGGACCACAGGUUGCCUAAGGAUGGGCAAACUGGCCCAAGGUCAGAAAUGGAGCAAGUCAAAACUCCCAUGCUGAUCAGUAGUGGGAUCGCGCCUGUGAAUAGCCACUGCACUCCAGCCUGGGCAACCUAGCGAGACCCCGUCUCU